Molecule: ribosomal RNA, 188 nt
Filed under: uncultured rumen bacterium
Lineage: Bacteria
Description: partial 16S ribosomal RNA
Rfam family: Bacterial small subunit ribosomal RNA
Source: RNAcentral
UACGGGAGGCAGCAGUAAGGGAUAUUGGUCAAUGGUGGGAACACUGAACCAGCCAUGCCGCGUGAGGGAAUGAGGCCCUACGGGUCGUGAACCUCUUUUGACCGGGGACAAGGACGCCCACGCGAUGGGCGUUUGAGGGUACCGGUGGAAUAAGCGUCGGCUAACUCCGUGCCAGCAGCCGCGGUAAU